This 537-nucleotide ribosomal RNA is filed under the name Cryptosporidium parvum. Its description in RNAcentral is "SSU rRNA". It matches the Rfam family "Eukaryotic small subunit ribosomal RNA", at positions 333 to 901 of the family's 1831-position model. The record is from RNAcentral. Lineage: Eukaryota; Apicomplexa; Conoidasida; Eucoccidiorida; Cryptosporidiidae.
GUAUUGGCCUACCGUGGCGAUGACGGGUAACGGGGAAUUAGGGUUCGAUUCCGGAGAGGGAGCCUGAGAAACGGCUACCACAUCUAAGGAAGGCAGCAGGCGCGCAAAUUACCCAAUCCUAAUACAGGGAGGUAGUGACAAGAAAUAACAAUACAGGACUUUUUGGUUUUGUAAUUGGAAUGAGUUAAGUAUAAACCCCUUUACAAGUAUCAAUUGGAGGGCAAGUCUGGUGCCAGCAGCCGCGGUAAUUCCAGCUCCAAUAGCGUAUAUUAAAGUUGUUGCAGUUAAAAAGCUCAUAGUUGGACUUCUGUUAAUAAUUUAUAUAAAAUAUUUUGAAUAUUUAUAUAACAUUAACAUAAUUCAUAUUACUAUAUUUUUUAGUAUAUGAAAUUUUACUUUGAGAAAAUUAGAGUGCUUAAAGCAGGCAUAUGCCUUGAAUACUCCAGCAUGGAAUAAUAUUGAAGAUCUUUAUCUUUUUUAUUGGUUCUAAGAUAAGAAUAAUGAUUAAUAGGGACAGUUGGGGGCAUUUGUAUUUAA